CAGUCGCCACGGGAAUACAGAGGGUGCGAGCGUUAAUCGGAUUUACUGGGCGUAAAGCGUGCGUAGGCGGCUUUUUAAGUCGGAUGUAAAAUCCCUGAGCUUAACUUAGGAAUUGCAUUCGAUACUGGGAAGCUAGAGUAUGGGAGAGGAUGGUAGAAUUCCAGGUGUAGCGGUGAAAUGCGUAGAGAUCUGGAGGAAUACCGAUGGCGAAGGCAGCCAUCUGGCCUAAUACUGACGCUGAGGUACGAAAGCAUGGGGAGCAAACAGGAUUAGAGACCCCCGUAGUCCCUGUCUCUUAUAC
RNAcentral lists this ribosomal RNA (301 nucleotides) under uncultured bacterium. RNAcentral describes it as "partial 16S ribosomal RNA". It matches the Rfam family "Bacterial small subunit ribosomal RNA", at positions 509 to 807 of the family's 1533-position model. The record is from RNAcentral.